AGGUCGCAUAUCGAUGCCAGACGUUCGAUACAGUUACAAUCACUGCCAGGGAAGGAAAGCGACAUAGUAAUGUAUACAGUGAAUAAAGCUCCUUCUUAUAACAAUGUAUUAAAUAGAACAAGAAGAGGUUUAGCCCAGAAAUUAGACAACCUUGAAAACCAGAGAGAUCAUCCUGGGAAAAAAUCUGGAGAUUUCGGUAUUACUGCUGAUAUGAGGUAUUUAUUUUUCCUAAUUAAAAUUAAAAUUAUACUCAUUCUCUAUGUAGCGCCUGUGAUAUGUUCCCACGAUUAGCUGUUAUAAAAAUCAAAAGUAGUUAAGAUUGUAACCUUAGAAACUAGAUCAGUGUCAUUUAAGAAGGAAUUAGAUAAUAUCACAUACUAAGGAAGUAAAUCGGCAAUAUUGAUCCCUUUAUUGAACAUUGAACUCUUGCAGUGAUCACUGAUGAUGAUAACAUUUCCAUAUGUUCAGUUAAAGUUAUGUUUAAAGGUAUUGCUAUAAAAAUAAAAUAGUAAAUUAUUCGAUGCAGUAUAUAUAUUUAUAAUCAUUUUAAAAUAAA
Molecule: long non-coding RNA, 556 nt
Filed under: Androctonus crassicauda
Lineage: Eukaryota; Metazoa; Arthropoda; Arachnida; Scorpiones; Buthidae
Source: RNAcentral